Molecule: ribosomal RNA, 341 nt
Filed under: uncultured bacterium
Lineage: Bacteria
Description: bacterial SSU rRNA
Rfam family: Bacterial small subunit ribosomal RNA
Source: RNAcentral
CGUGUAGCAAUACACAGUCGAGCGGCGAACGGGUGAGUAACGCGUGGAUACCUGCCCUUCAGCGGGGAAUAACCCGGGGAAACUCGGGCUAAUACCGCAUACGACCGAGAGGCGAAAGGGGGCCGCAAGGCUCUCACUGAAGGAGGGGUCCGCGUCCGAUUAGCUAGUUGGUAGGGUAAAGGCCUACCAAGGCGACGAUCGGUAGCCGGCCUGAGAGGGUGAUCGGCCACACUGGAACUGAGACACGGUCCAGACUCCUACGGGAGGCAGCAGUGGGGAAUUUUGCGCAAUGGGCGGAAGCCUGACGCAGCAACGCCGCGUGGAGGAUGAAGGUCCUUGGA